GACGAACGCUGGCGGCGUGCUUAACACAUGCAAGUCGAACGGAAAGGCCCUGCUUUUGUGGGGUGCUCGAGUGGCGAACGGGUGAGUAACACGUGAGUAACCUGCCCUUGACUUUGGGAUAACUUCAGGAAACUGGGGCUAAUACCGGAUAGGAGCUCCUGCUGCAUGGUGGGGGUUGGAAAGUUUCGGCGGUUGGGGAUGGGCUCGCGGCUUAUCAGCUUGUCGGUGGGGUAGUGGCUUACCAAGGCUUUGACGGGUAGCCGGCCUGAGAGGGUGACCGGCCACAUUGGGACUGAGAUACGGCCCAGACUCCUACGGGAGGCAGCAGUGGGGAAUAUUGCACAAUGGGCGGAAGCCUGAUGCAGCAACGCCGCGUGCGGGAUGACGGCCUUCGGGUUGUAAACCGCUUUCGCCUGUGACGAAGCGUGAGUGACGGUAAUGGGUAAAGAAGCACCGGCUAACUACGUG
Molecule: ribosomal RNA, 468 nt
Filed under: uncultured bacterium
Lineage: Bacteria
Description: partial 16S ribosomal RNA
Rfam family: Bacterial small subunit ribosomal RNA
Source: RNAcentral